RNAcentral lists this ribosomal RNA (253 nucleotides) under uncultured bacterium. RNAcentral describes it as "partial 16S ribosomal RNA". It matches the Rfam family "Bacterial small subunit ribosomal RNA", at positions 524 to 776 of the family's 1533-position model. The record is from RNAcentral.
UACGUAGGUGGCAAGCGUUGUCCGGAAUUAUUGGGCGUAAAGCGCGCGCAGGCGGUCCUUUAAGUCUGAUGUGAAAGCCCACGGCUCAACCGUGGAGGGUCAUUGGAAACUGGGGGACUUGAGUGCAGGAGAGAAGAGUGGAAUUCCACGUGUAGCGGUGAAAUGCGUAGAGAUGUGGAGGAACACCAGUGGCGAAGGCGACUCUUUGGCCUGUAACUGACGCUGAGGCGCGAAAGCGUGGGUAGCAAACAGG